This 1490-nucleotide unclassified non-coding RNA is filed under the name Hevea brasiliensis (rubber tree). Lineage: Eukaryota; Viridiplantae; Streptophyta; Magnoliopsida; Malpighiales; Euphorbiaceae. The record is from RNAcentral.
AACUCUGCAAGAUGUGUAAGGAGUAGCUUGAAACAGGACUUUCCCAUCUAACACGUAUUUCACGAUAAACGAGCUCAAUUCCAGGAUGAGGAAUACCUCAAAAAUGCUGAUUAAAGAAGGACCAGACUCUUGCCUUCCACCUUUAUAUAUAACUCAUUCGUAUAUAUCAUUUUCAUCAAGAAAACGAGAAAAGAAGCAAGAACACUAGCACUCACUCUCAAAUCCAAUCACUACCAAAAAGCUAGACUCUCUUGGUAAUCCAGGAGUCCAUCGAGAAUGGCACUAAGCCUAGGAGGACGAAGGAGCAAUAUCUUCGACCCCUGGUCACUAGACGUCUGGGAUCCAUUUGAGGGUUUCCCUCUCUUCACAGGAGCUGUGACCAGUCUCCCAUCCACCCAACGGGAAACAACAGCUAUUGCCACUACACGGGUCGACUGGAGGGAAACCCCAGAGGCUCACAUAUUCACAGUUGACCUUCCUGGGUUGAAGAAAGAGGAGGUGAAGGUGGAGAUUGAGGAUGGCAGAGUAUUGCAGACCAGUGGAGAGAGGUGUAGAGAGUAAGAGGACAUGAAUGAUGAGUGGCACCGUGUGGAGAGGAGCACCGCCAAGUUCUUGAGGAGGUUUAGGUUGCCAGAGAAUGCAAAGAUGGAUCAAAUUAACGCUAACAUGGAGAACGGUGUGCUUGAAGUAGUUGUGCCUCAGGAGCAGGCAAAGAAACCUGAGGUUAAGCCUAUAGAAAUGGUUAGAACAGCAGUCUCUUUUCCUGGUGCUAGAAUAAAACUUUUGCACUUCCAGUGUGGUGCCGUCUGUAUGAUAGGGUACUGGUUUAAGCGUUUUGUUUGUGAAACAUGUAUCCUCCAUUUUGGUGUAUUUUCAGUAGUGCAUAGUUUUCAGAGGUUGUGUGAAGUUGCGUUAAAAACUUGAAUAAAUAGCUGCUUUCUUUCUGUUUAACAUGAUAUGAAAAUUUAAUAUUUUACUUUAUGGGCUUCUCAGGAAAAUUUUACAAUUUUUUAGCAUAGCCAGACAGGUGCUCAAUGUAGCCUAUUUGAGAUUUUGUUUUAACAGAUGGAGUUGAUCAGUCUGGUAUAUCCUACAGUAUUGAAAUUGUGGACAUUUACACCCUAAUGCAAAGAUUUUGUUUUGACAGAUGAUAGAGGAUUUGAUUAGUUUCACAUAUCCUGCAGAACUGAAAUUGGGGACAAAACACUAGUGAAACUCAUGCAUCCAAAUUUCAUCUGUUUUUAUUAAUGAAAAAUUAUCGGAAUAUGAAAUUCACUUGGCUUAGAGAUAGCAUCUUAACCAAUCAUAUGCUUAAUAUAUGUCUCCAAGUGAAGAAUGUUCUCUGAAAUUGUGAUGAAUGUUAUCUGAAAUUAUAGAAGAAACCAAUUAUACAAAUAUCAGGCUUAGAACAUAGAAAUGAUGCAUGUAUUCAGUACUCAACAAGAACAGCUACAUCAACAAAACAGAAUAAAAAAAAAUAAAAAAAAAAA